CAGAAUACAGCAUCUAAAAUGGACAAGCAAUGGAAAUAACUGGCCCAACUCCAAAUGGGAACGUUGGCCGAGGCGUCACAUCUUCCCUCCCCAAGGAAGAGGCGGCAACACUGGUUUCACCAUGUCUCAACAGACCAAUGAAUACUUCCAAAUGGACUAAAGG
Gambusia affinis (western mosquitofish) is the source of this 163-nucleotide long non-coding RNA. RefSeq lists it as uncharacterized. The record is from RefSeq and is a predicted model, not a curated record. NCBI's taxonomy places the organism in Eukaryota, Metazoa, Chordata, Actinopteri, Cyprinodontiformes, Poeciliidae. The transcript has 3 exons.